UACAGAGACUGCAAGCGUUAUUCGGAUUCACUGGGCGUAAAGGGUGCGCAGGCGGCCAUGUGUGUGAGGCGUGAAAGCCCGGGGCUCAACCCCGGAAUUGCACCUCAAACUACAUGGCUAGAGCAUUGGAGAGGGUAGCGGAAUUCACGGUGUAGCAGUGAAAUGCGUAGAUAUCGUGGGGAACACCAGAGGCGAAGGCGGCUACCUGGACAAUUGCUGACGCUCAGGCACGAAAGCGUGGGGAGCAAAAGGG
This 253-nucleotide ribosomal RNA is filed under the name uncultured bacterium. RNAcentral describes it as "partial 16S ribosomal RNA". It matches the Rfam family "Bacterial small subunit ribosomal RNA", at positions 524 to 776 of the family's 1533-position model. The record is from RNAcentral.